CUGGCUGUGUCCCCUCCCAGCUUGUGCACGCCCAGCCUUUUUGCUGGUGGGAUGGGGUGAGGAGCCGAAGAGCCCUUGGCUCAGCACCAACCAAAACAGCAAUGUGCCAUGAGCAUUAUUGUCAUCCUGAGUCUAAAUCAGCACUAUACCAGUUACUGGGAAGUAAACUUACUCUAUCCCAGCUGAAACCUGGAUCCCAAGUGGAAGCAACACAAAGAGAGUGAGAGUAAUUUCAGACCUAACCCUUCCAGGAGCUGAAGCUCUGCAUCAUACUAGACAGAGGUGGUUAAACAUCAGCCCUGGCACAUGGAGAUUGACGUGCCACAUAAAAAUGAAAUUAGGGAGGGCUCAGAGCAGCCCAUUGCUCCCUCUUUUUCAUUGAAUGAUUUUCUUAGCUGUCCUGAGGUUUUGGCUUGAGUUGACCAGAGCUCACUCGAACAUUGCUGCAGCAAUUCAGAUUUAAUUUGUGGGUAGGAAUGAUUUGCAUGGAAAGAAAAAGUACUUCAAAGUAUGUGAAGAUAAGAGACUUAUGUAAAAAUUAAGCGGCCUAUGGUCUGCAGGAUAACGGCAGUGGCUUUUGCAUCCCAGCCAGAGACCUCAGAGAAGUACCAGACUGAGAGAACACUCCAACUGGAACAGCACAAAACAGAUCUUUAAUGAAAGCAAUUGAAACAACACUAAAUAAACUGUUUUAAUGGAGUUCCAAGGAGAUGUGUAAAAGCUGCUAGUAAAAUCAAUUGAAGGCCUGUCACAGUGCCUCAAAAGUCCCUUCACAGCCCUCCUGCUGGCAGCAGUUCAA
Long non-coding RNA from Passer domesticus (house sparrow), 799 nucleotides. RefSeq lists it as uncharacterized. The transcript is spliced from 3 exons. The record is from RefSeq and is a predicted model, not a curated record. NCBI's taxonomy places the organism in Eukaryota, Metazoa, Chordata, Aves, Passeriformes, Passeridae.